This 2166-nucleotide long non-coding RNA is filed under the name Anas platyrhynchos platyrhynchos (common mallard). RNAcentral describes it as "lncRNA (ENSAPLG00000027997.1)". Lineage: Eukaryota; Metazoa; Chordata; Aves; Anseriformes; Anatidae. The record is from RNAcentral.
AUGAUCCACCUUUUCUUUCACUCGCCUCUCCUCCAGCAAAUCUAUAAUGCAUUUAAUCUUCAGCAGUCACUCUCCUCAGUUUUUAAAUGUCUAAUUUGCUGCCGAGUGCAGCUCCAAUUCUCUCUGUGCCGCCGUUUUAACUCUCUGCCUUGUGUUUGCCCAAUUGCUUGUCUGCUUGGAUGGAGAGACCCGACUGCACCUGAUCCUUCGGAGAGAGGGAGGGGGAGAGAAGCUUACCGGAGGGCAGAGACUUCGCAGCGUCGUUGUCCAGGCAAACACCUUGGUGCUUUGGGAGACUACCUGCUUUGCUCACACCACAGCCAGCAGGCUGCUGUCAAGCAAGGCUUUCCCCUGUGCCAAGAGCAGGCUCCCCAGCCCUCGGCUGGCUGGAGCAGGCGUGCGGUGCCUGGGCCAUGCUGCCAGCACUGGCACGAAGCCUCCUUCAGCCCACAGCAAGGCAGGAGGUGGGGAUGGUUUCACCAAACCUCGUGGGUUUGUUCCCAAGCGCCCAGACUCGCUCUGACCCUUCCAAGGCUGCUCAGGCAGAACCUGUCCCCAGGAGCCCCCACCCCAGCCCUGGCAGCCCCUGACUGCUCUUCCUCUGUGCCCCACCAUCAUCCCCACUCAACCCGAGCAACCCAGUGUCACUGCUGUAACUGGCAGCCCCCAGCAUACUGGGGAUGCUGGGCACUGCCCUCCCACCCCACCUGUGCUCCCAGCUGCGGCCACUUCUCUGCCCCAUCUGAGAGCACUCAGCACCAGCCUGCGUGCCUGCUGCCAGCUGUGGGUGUUAAUGCCCUCUGCAGGGGCUGGUGGUGUGGCUGUUUGGGACUGCUCUGCAGGAUGCUGAGGGCAGCUGGAGCAUGGACCUGACUCAGACUUAGAUGUACCUGUGUGACUAGCACUUCUACUAGUGAACAACAGCCUUCUAGCACGGUGGUCAACUUUUACCCAGGCUUUCCAAGCACAAGGUGAUUUAGACUCAGAGCACUUAGAAGGAUGAAGCCCAGGGGCUGGAGCAGCAGGCGGGUGCGUGCAGCGUGCCCUGGGGAUUGGGGCCAGUCCGGCUCCCAGGCUGAGCUCACAGACCCCCAGCCCUUUGACUGACAGAGUCUGGGACAGGUACUGCUGAGAGCCUUGGCUCCUGUGCUCUGCAUCUGCGUGUGUACAUGUGGGUGCGUGGGCCAGAUCUGCACCGGGCUUCUGCGUGUUGUGACAAUUCCUUCCCCCGUUUGUGGCAACCUCGUCUGCGAAGUCAUCUCAGCAGCCUCCUUCCAAUGAAAACCAUGAAGGAGUUUUCCACCACUGAAGAAAUACCUUUGUUUGCUUUUCAAUUAAAUGCUGAAGGUUUUGUCUGUUUUUGUUUGCUUGUUUGUUUGUUUCCCCAACCUUCUUGUCCGAGUUUAUUGGGUACAGCUGGGUCUUAUUUCUCAAGCUUUUCUGUGCAGCAGCAACAACAGCUUUCUUCCAUGCUUACUUCCACCUAGGAGCUGGAGUCUUGAAGGAAGAUGUAAGCACUUUGCAGCACGCAGUCAUCUGGCAACAGUGGCAGUGAUAGAGAUGAAAGACAAUCAGGCUCCGGUGUAAUUCAGAGCUCCAAAUCAGCCUUGUAGCUCCACAUUAGUUUGAACUAGGCUGAAAAAGGUUGGGAACUGCAGUUAGUAAUGAAUGUGUCCAAAUCUUGCUGAUUUCAAAGCAAAAAAGAAGGGAUGGAAUCUGUCUAAAAGUUAUUAAAGAGCCCCAAAGCUUGUCGCUUGUCCUANNNNNNNNNNNNNNNNNNNNNNNNNNNNNNNNNNNNNNNNNNNNNNNNNNNNNNNNNNNNNNNNNNNNNNNNNNNNNNNNNNNNNNNNNNNNNNNNNNNNUUUUUUUUUUUUUUUUUUUUUGAAUAUAUUUUGGAAAUCAAGUAAUAAUCUUUGUGUAAUUUACCUCUUUCAUUGAACAGCUCAGGGACCAGAUUUCCCCUUGAUAGAUUAUUUUGACAUAUUUACUCAUAGCUAUGUCUAUCUCAGCAGCAUCCAAAGAAAAACCUCAAACUUUAAAUUAACAUGUAGGGAUUGAGAUUUUUGCCUGAAGUCAAACAAUCUUAAACAACUCUCCUCCCCCUGGCUUUUAGUUAUAUUUAGGUCUAAAGCUGUAACUACAAUAAAGCCACAAGCACAUUUUUCA